RNAcentral lists this long non-coding RNA (222 nucleotides) under Ricinus communis (castor bean). RNAcentral's name for it is "long non-coding RNA (RCOM_LNC000234)". Lineage: Eukaryota; Viridiplantae; Streptophyta; Magnoliopsida; Malpighiales; Euphorbiaceae. The record is from RNAcentral.
GUAGAUUUAGAGUUUGAGCUGUUCAUCCAAUUUAAGGGAAAAGGGUGUACAUGUUUCAUUUUUUUUAUUCUUUCAUUAUAAUUGAAUUCCUAGUUGUUUUAGACAUGAACAUGUGUAGCUAGAUCGAUUAAACCUAUUUUGAUUUCCUUACUAUGUUGGCUUAGUACUAAAUUGUUGGAUUGCUUUAGUUCCUUUUUGUAUUCUUCUUGCUUUCAAUAUUAA